AAAGUUGGACUAAGAGAAUGUUUUUACCUCAACUCUAUAAAAAGAGGAAUUUGCGUAAGAGGCCAUAGUGGAA
This 73-nucleotide transfer RNA is filed under the name Cellulophaga phage Calle_1. RNAcentral's name for it is "tRNA-Gly". The record is from RNAcentral. Lineage: Duplodnaviria; Heunggongvirae; Uroviricota; Caudoviricetes; Pervagoviridae.